Molecule: ribosomal RNA, 486 nt
Filed under: uncultured bacterium
Lineage: Bacteria
Description: partial 16S ribosomal RNA
Rfam family: Bacterial small subunit ribosomal RNA
Source: RNAcentral
GACGAACGCUGGCGGCGUGCUUAACACAUGCAAGUCGAACGCUGAAGCCCUGGCUUUUGUUGGGUUAGAUGAGUGGCGAACGGGUGAGUAACACGUGAGUAACCUGCCCUCUUCUUUGGGAUAACGCCCGGAAACGGGUGCUAAUACUGGAUAUUCACUGAUCUUCGCAUGGGGGUUGGUGGAAAGGUUUGUUCUGGUGGGGGAUGGGCUCGCGGCCUAUCAGCUUGUUGGUGGGGUGAUGGCCUACCAAGGCUUUGACGGGUAGCCGGCCUGAGAGGGUGACCGGUCACAUUGGGACUGAGAUACGGCCCAGACUCCUACGGGAGGCAGCAGUGGGGAAUAUUGCACAAUGGGCGAAAGCCUGAUGCAGCGACGCCGCGUGAGGGAUGGAGGCCUUCGGGUUGUAAACCUCUUUCGCUCAUGGUCAAGCCGCAACUGUGGGUUGUGGUGAGGGUAGUGGGUAAAGAAGCGCCGGCUAACUACGUG